UGUACUAGGGAAACACGUCAGAAUUUCUCUCAAUAGUCUUUUGGUUCUUUCUGCUUGACAGCAUCCGUUCUGAAUCUUAAUUUUUCUGAUAUAAAUCACCUGUUACACCACAUUUUGAUCUUCACUUAAUAAGUCUAUUGUUGGCAGCUUAGCUCUGCACUCUCGGAGGCUACGGUUCUCUGGCCUGUUCACCGUAAGUGGAGACGUUUGGACAGUAUGGCUGAUUCGUCCACCGGUUCCAGCAGUAGGCCUACUACAUCUGUUGCUCCACGUGAUGACACGUCUGACGUCCGGGAGAACUGUGGUGUGACCGUAAUGCAAACCAGUAAUGAGGUUGGCUGCAGGAAAUGGGACAAGAAACACUUCUGCUGUUACUGCGAUGUACCCCAGGCCAAGCUCCCCCGUCAUCUCCAGUCAUGUCACAAGGAAGAAAGAGAAGUCGUCGAGAACGCCGGUGAGCCCAACGCUGGUGUGCGUAAGAAACUUCUGUUGAAAAUUCGCAAUAUAGGUAAUCACAGGCACAAUUGUCAGGUUCUUCGUGAAGGUCGUGGUGUGCUCAUUGUCGGGUACAGGCCAAAUUGCGUAUGGACCAUGCGUAUAUUGUUACGGCUAUUAUGUGCGUACCGAUUUGUGGCGACACGUGUGCCCUUUGAAGCCAGCAUCCACUCCACAGACUGACAGCACCGGUAAGAGGGCUCGUGUGGGUGGACGGGUCGCUCACAAGAGUGAUUUGUUGGAACCU
Molecule: long non-coding RNA, 742 nt
Organism: Acanthaster planci (crown-of-thorns starfish)
Lineage: Eukaryota; Metazoa; Echinodermata; Asteroidea; Valvatida; Acanthasteridae
Source: RefSeq, a predicted model, not a curated record